This is a non-coding RNA of Poecilia reticulata (guppy), 1286 nucleotides long. The record is from RefSeq and is a predicted model, not a curated record. NCBI's taxonomy places the organism in Eukaryota, Metazoa, Chordata, Actinopteri, Cyprinodontiformes, Poeciliidae.
CUGAUAAGUUAGUUUGUCUUAUUUCAACAGUAAUAAGAUAUUUACACCAGAAACUAGAUCAAAGUUAUUUUGCAGUGAGAAAAUGUUUUAAAAUUAAUAAAAUGCUCCUGCUGAUCAGUUUCCUGUUUCUGGUUGUUUUUGGACCGAACUGCACAGACGGUAAGUGAACCUGCUGAGCAGACUGGACCGACGGAAACAGCAGCAUCAGAACCGAGUCCAAGUUCAUCUGGUGGAUUUACUGUUAGCUAAAACAGACGUGAGCAAAUGAGCAGGUGGGAGAAAAACAGGAAGUGGGACAAUCUAAAUGAGACGCCAGGUAACAACGAGGCCUUCCUGCUGGAAUCAUUUCCACUUUACGAGAAGCUUUAAUAAAGUUUUGACCAUUUAUUGAAUAUUUAUUGAGUAUUUUAAUAAUUAGCAUGUAGCUUUUUGCACAGCUGCUCCUCAUUAGGUGAAUUUAGUUGAUAAUUACCAGAGGAAAUGAGAGCUGCUGUUUAGUGAAACCUGAGCACGUGUGUGUGUGUGUGUGUGUGUGUGUGUGUGUGUGUGUGUGACCUAUUGAAGGUGUGUGAGCUGGAGCAGUGAUGGAACCAGUCCGCUGUCCUCUGCAGGCGUUUGGACAGAUCCGUCCCCGGGGGUCCGGACACCCUCAGCAGCUUCUGGGAGCGGCCCUGGAAGAGUUUCAGCCUGAGCCUCAGCUGGCUGAAAGCCGCUUCGCUCCGAGAGCCGGCGCAGUAAACUCUGCAGCUCUCAGUCAGAUCAAUAUUCCUCCAGGUUCUGAUCCGCUUUGAUGUGGACGGCAGAGCGAGGCCGUCCGGGGAGAAAGGCAAAGAAAAGAGGCUUCAUUAUUUCAGACGGCUGUCAGCGGCUCACGUUCAAUUAGCAGCAAAACGAAUGUCAGGCUGGAAACCAAGAGGCUGCAGGACGGAAAAGCAACGAGCCACAACGUCUCUGACGGGCCGAGACACGAAACGAGACACAAAGACUCAACCAGCAGACUGAACCGGCUCCAGGCUCCAGGUUCCAGGUUCCAAGCUGCAGGUUCCAGGUUCCAGGCUCCAGGCUGAGACUCCAGUGUUGCUCUAGAAACCAGCAGACUGAACCGGCUCCAGGCUCCAGACUCCAGGUUCCCAGCUGCAGGUUCCAGGCUCCAGGUUCCAGGCUCCAGGCUGAGACUCCAGUGUUGCUCUGGAAACCAGCAGACUGAACCGGCUCCAGGUUCCAGGCUCCAGGUUCCAGGCUCCAGGUUCUAGGCUCCAGGUUCCAGGCUCCAGGUUCCAGGCUCC